GCAUAAAAACGGAAAUUAAAUGUUUUAAUUAAAUUUCAAAUAAAGACCACGAUGAACGACAACAAAACAUAUUCAAAACUUAUUUUUUUGCUUAAGCAGACGUUACGGUUGUUGUCGCUUUAAGAAAAUUUCCCGCUUGACUCAUUCGGUGCGGACCGGUAGUAACCUGUUCUUUUGACAACUUCAGACACGAUUUUCCAACGUCCGAACAUUUUUGGAGGACACCGUUUUCAGCUCGCGAAUACUGGCUGUGGUAUGUUUCUGACCGGUAGUAACCUGUUCUUCUGACAACUUCAGACACGAUUUUCCAGCGUCCGAACAUUUUUGGAGGACACCGUUUUCAGCUCGCGAAUACUGGCUGUGGUAUGUUUCUGACCGAUUGGGAAGAGCCCUCAGAAGUAGCAAUGGA
Pimephales promelas (fathead minnow) is the source of this 409-nucleotide non-coding RNA. The record is from RefSeq and is a predicted model, not a curated record. NCBI's taxonomy places the organism in Eukaryota, Metazoa, Chordata, Actinopteri, Cypriniformes, Leuciscidae.